Phasianus colchicus (ring-necked pheasant) is the source of this 495-nucleotide non-coding RNA. Lineage: Eukaryota; Metazoa; Chordata; Aves; Galliformes; Phasianidae. The record is from the annotation of a RefSeq genome assembly.
CCGGACUGCGGGGGCAGGGGCGGCCGGGGCCUCUGGACAUUCGUCUUCUUUCCGACCUCCUGCACCUCUCUGCUCCUUCAUGAAAUUGCUGUGCGAGAAAAUGGAUUUUCUGAGUGUGCUGCUUCUUUUCUUCUCGGCAGUGGCUGUGAGCAGAGCUCAGGUGCAGCAGGAGCCGGCGGCAGAGACCACCGAGGGCACCGGCAUCAACAUCACCUGCUCACACACCAGUACACUGGCCAACAACAUCUAUUGGUACCGCCAGCUCCCGGGCCAAGGACCCGCAUUCCUCGUCAGCGCCGUUAGAGGCUCCAAGCAGGUGCCGGACCCGGAGGGGCAGGUGUUUGUGUCGGCAGACCGCCGCUUCAGCUCCCUGUGGCUCGCCCGGCCCCGGCUCGGCGACGCGGCCGUGUAUUACUGCGCCGUGGACCCACGGGGAGCGAAGCCGGGGCUGCGGCCGGGCACGAACCGCUUUGGGCGGGGCGGGGGCACAGUACC